UGAGUAACCUGCCCUUAACUCUGGGAUAAGCCUGGGAAACUGGGUCUAAUACCGGAUAUGACUCCUCAUCGCAUGGUGGGGGGUGGAAAGCUUUAUUGUGGUUUUGGAUGGACUCGCGGCCUAUCAGCUAGUUGGUGGGGUGAUGGCCUACCAAGGUGUCGACGGGUAGCCGGCCUGAGAGGGUGACCGGCCACACUGGGACUGAGACACGGCCCAGACUCCUACGGGAGGCAG
This 234-nucleotide ribosomal RNA is filed under the name uncultured bacterium. Its description in RNAcentral is "partial 16S ribosomal RNA". It matches the Rfam family "Bacterial small subunit ribosomal RNA", at positions 118 to 351 of the family's 1533-position model. The record is from RNAcentral.